UGAGGAAUAUUGGUCAAUGGGCGCGAGCCUGAACCAGCCAAGUAGCGUGAAGGAUGACUGCCCUACGGGUUGUAAACUUCUUUUAUAAAGGAAUAAAGUGAGGCACGUGUGCCUUUUUGUAUGUACUUUAUGAAUAAGGAUCGGCUAACUCCGUGCC
RNAcentral lists this ribosomal RNA (157 nucleotides) under uncultured bacterium. RNAcentral's name for it is "partial 16S ribosomal RNA". It matches the Rfam family "Bacterial small subunit ribosomal RNA", at positions 355 to 509 of the family's 1533-position model. The record is from RNAcentral.